RNAcentral lists this ribosomal RNA (576 nucleotides) under uncultured eukaryote. Its description in RNAcentral is "SSU rRNA". It matches the Rfam family "Eukaryotic small subunit ribosomal RNA", at positions 203 to 786 of the family's 1831-position model. The record is from RNAcentral.
UUUGUUACUUCAAACCAAUCGGACUUCGGUCUGACAUCAAGUGAUAUUGAACAAUUUAGCUGAUCGCACGGUCUAAGAACCGGCGACAUAUCCUUCAAAUGUCUGCCUUAUCGACUUUCGAUGGUAGAUUAUGCGCCUACCAUGGUUGUAACGGGUAACGGAGAAUCAGGGUUUGAUUCCGGAGAGGGAGCCUGAGAAACGGCUACCACAUCCAAGGAAGGCAGCAGGCACGCAAAUUACCCACUCCCGGCACGGGGAGGUAGUGACGAAAAAUAACAAGCUGGUCUCAAUGAGUUCCAGCAUUGUAAUGGGAACAAUUUAAAUCUUUUAUCGAGGAUCUAUUGGAGGGCAAGUCUGGUGCCAGCAGCCGCGGUAAUUCCAGCUCCAAUAGCGUAUAUUAAAGUUGUUGCGGUUAAAAAGCUCGUAGUUGGAUCUAGGAUUAGGGCUACGGUCGUUCAGCUUGGACGUACUGUAUGCCCGACUCCUUUUCUCUAGUAUUCGAUUGUUGCUCUUAAAUGAGUGACUUUAGUUGCUGGAACUUUUACCUUGAAAAAAUUGAAGUGCUCAAAGCAGGUU